GGGACCUGAUGCAGCCAUGCCGCGUGUGUGAAGAAGGCCUUCGGGUUGUAAAGCACUUUCAGUUGUGAGGAAAAGUUAGUAGUUAAUACCUGCUAGCCGUGACGUUAACAACAGAAGAAGCACCGGCUAACUCCGUGCCAGCAGCCGCGGUAAUACGGAGGGUGCGAGCGUUAAUCGGAAUUACUGGGCGUAAAGCGCACGCAGGCGGUUUGUUAAGCUAGAUGUGAAAGCCCCGGGCUCAACCUGGGAUGGUCAUUUAGAACUGGCAGACUAGAGUCUUGGAGAGGGGAGUGGAAUUCCAGGUGUAGCGGUGAAAUGCGUAGAUAUCUGGAGGAACAUCAGUGGCGAAGGCGACUCCCUGGCCAAAGACUGACGCUCAUGUGCGAAAGUGUGGGUAGCGAACAGGAUUAGAUACCCUGGUAGUCCACACCGUAAACGCUGUCUACUAGCUGUUUGUGACUUUAAGUCGUGAGUAGCGAAGCUAACGCGCUAAGUAGACCGCCUGGGGAGUACGGCCGCAAGGUUAAAACUCAAAUG
RNAcentral lists this ribosomal RNA (537 nucleotides) under Alteromonas sp. Its description in RNAcentral is "bacterial SSU rRNA". It matches the Rfam family "Bacterial small subunit ribosomal RNA", at positions 374 to 907 of the family's 1533-position model. The record is from RNAcentral. Lineage: Bacteria; Pseudomonadati; Pseudomonadota; Gammaproteobacteria; Alteromonadales; Alteromonadaceae.